GGGGAUGCCCGGUUUCGACAGGGGAAUGGAAAAAGGAGAAGCGAGCCGUCAGGCAGAUGACGUUAAUCAGGCGAAACCAAUAACUGCUAACGACAACGAAUUAGCUUACGCAGCCUAACCAUGGCUGCCGGUCCUCCGGCUGGACCCGUAACAGACGGACUGACCUCAAUCAUUUCGGGAAACUUCCUGCGCUAAGCUUUGCCCGCAGGUUGGAUUCAUGAAGCUACCGAAUGCUAUCGUUUGUUUAUUUCACCGGUCAUUCGGGAAACAACCGAAAUAAACUGCGCUCGGAGAAACUCGUUCGGAUGUUCUCUUGGACGAGGGUUCGAUUCCCUCCAUCUCCA
RNAcentral lists this transfer-messenger RNA (344 nucleotides) under uncultured Murdochiella sp. It matches the Rfam family "transfer-messenger RNA". From Rfam's summary of the family: Bacterial tmRNA, also known as 10Sa RNA or SsrA, is named for its dual tRNA and mRNA-like properties. Its role is to liberate the mRNA from a stalled ribosome. To accomplish this part of the tmRNA is used as a reading frame that ends in a translation stop signal. The record is from RNAcentral. Lineage: Bacteria; Bacillati; Bacillota; Tissierellia; Tissierellales; Peptoniphilaceae.